RNAcentral lists this unclassified non-coding RNA (3449 nucleotides) under Leishmania donovani. RNAcentral describes it as "gene:LdHU3.36.8490(CDS-product:hypothetical_prote in_conserved)". The record is from RNAcentral. Lineage: Eukaryota; Euglenozoa; Kinetoplastea; Trypanosomatida; Trypanosomatidae.
UGAAAUGCUGUUCUCAACGAAAUGCGCAACUGAAUCGCAACACCACCUAGCCGUUGCUCUCCUCCUCUCGACUUCUUUCCAUCGCCGUUCUCGAUCCCCUUCCUUCCACCACACACACACGAUUCGAUCACGCAUUUUUCGUCUCCUCCUCCCCACCAAGGAAAGAGCGCAAGUCUGGGGGACACUGCUGCUGUCCCGGAGCGGCGAGAGUUUGUGCGCCGUUGUGACCGCCUUCUCCCUUUCCAUUUCCCAUUGGACCCCCUCGCGUGUCGCGCGUUUAGUGACGUCUCUUUUUCUUGUAUUUGUCUCCUCUCUCCUCGUAUUUAUUAGCGCCUGUCGUGGAACUUGUGUGCGUGUGUAUACAGACGGGCAGCACUUCGCCUUCUUGUUGCUGCUCAUCUUCUGGCCUCGGCGGUCUCUCCGCCUGCAUCAGUACACCACCCACGGUCUUCCUAUUCCACACACCUACGCAUUGCCCUCUGCUGUACUUUGCCCCUCCGUGACCAGUAUCUGUCAUUGCCAAUUCUUGUUCGGUCCUCACACUUCUUGUACCUCCCUUCCUUUGCGGAGACGGUGCGGCUGUCUUCAGCGCAGUGUUCUUCCCGUGGCUUCCGCCGACUGCCCUCAUGUGUAACCGGAACCGAUUCUCUCAAAUCCUCCCCGUCACUUAGAUGGUAAAAGCACUCGGGUUAUACAUGAAUGCAUGACUGAGCUGCGACUGUCGCAUGACGCCACCCACGAAGCCCCGAGGGCCAACCUCUGGCGAGUAUUCACCCCCUUCGAUGGGCCGCGCACACUCAACAUGGUAGGAGGCACAGCGGGAGGCAUCGGUGGCGGGGCUGCGCGACAGCCACCUACGCCAAUCUCUCGAAGACCGUCGCACAGCGCCUCGGUCGAACGCACCGUAUCAUUAUCACCGGUCCUCAGCAGCGACACUGCUUCGAGUUCUCUUGAUGUACCCCCCAUCGAGUCCUUUGCUGGUGCCGAAAUGUCGGUGCCGUUGCCGCUCCGGGGCGACGCGUCUGCCUCACACUCCGUGCAGGGCCGCGGUGAGGUGCAGAGCAUUGCCAGCGUCUCGUCGGAGUGGCGCACCUCCUUGGAUUUUGCACAGCAGCUGGACAUAAAGGCAGAGAAGGAGCUACAUGCGCUGUGGUCAGCGCUGUGGGCGGCAACUCACAGCGAGGCCGCGCUGCAGACCGCCUUGGAGAGUAGGCGGACGUCGUGGAACCCUUAUCGGCCCGUCCGUGGCGGGCCAGAGGUGAAGGCGGAGGUUCUGCACAGCGAGGUGGUAGAGUUUCAGGCUAUGGUGCCGACCGACAGCUUGUACCUCCGCGGCGUCGCCGCGCAGCUACCCACCUCGUCUCCUGCAGGCUCCGUUUCGCUGCGGGACUCGAUUUCCAGAAUCAGCAACUCAUGGGUGUCGCCUCUGUCUCCACACUGCACUGGGGGGCAACGAAACGCAGCGAAGAGCAAGGCAGAUGCGGAGGAGGAAGUGCUGGUGAUGGACGGGCCUUCUGCUGUGGCCUUCCGGUCACCGUCUACGCCGGUCACCUCGCUCGCUCGCGGAUCUUCCUGGUGGGCGGUGCGCCGUGCAGAGAGCGAGGCGGCGCUCUUUCACUACAUGUGGGAAGCUGUCGUCGUUCCGUACUACGCAUCCAUGCCUGCUGCCUUCUUUUCGGCUGCCUUGCCCGGCGACGGGGCAGCGACGCAGACCAGCGGCUCCUUGAUGUCUUUCGCCCCUCGCCGCGAGGAGCGGGAAGAGAGGGAGGCGAGCGGCGUGGUCACCGCCUUCGGUGGGGCCCGAGAAAAGGUGCGAAAGUGGAGCUUUGAGGCAUGCCGCCGCUCGUCCUCUCCCUCGUCAGCGAACGCGUCGCCGCUGCAGAAGUGCGACCCUUCCAGUGUCGGCGAGGCACGGUUUUCAACGUUGGCGACAGUGCGUCCGCAGCGCCCGGGCAGCGGUGGAGCUUCUCACGCCAUGGCAUCGCGAGACCUCGACAUCGUCUCGGAAGACUCACUCGAGGUCGAGGUUCUGGAGGAAAACAAGGGCAGCAGCCAUGUAUCGCCCACGCACGCCGCAUCGCCGCUGGGGAGGGGAGACGAUCGCAGCGCUGCGACUCCCGACCCGGCGGCCGCCCCUGCCGAGCGCAGCGGCCAACGCAAACAGCGUCCCUCAACAGCCUACUUGCAUGUCCUCACCACCGCACCGCUGGACGUCGGGGCGACCGAUAAGCUGCCACAAGGAUCGACCCAUGCCUCGACUUCAACGACGCAGCAGCGUGCCGCGUCUGCUUUCUCGGAUAGUGUGCAGGUCGCUGGCGCAUCGUCUGCGCCUCGCAGUGGCGCUGCUGCUUCUGCCUCGACGAGAGGCGGGCUGUUUGGAAAGGCGUCAAGCCGGAGAGAGGUCCCACUCUUCCACAUCACCGCGAAAGCUGCAGGGAAUGCGCCGAAAACCUCGUCGUCGUCACCGCUGCCCGUGGCGGCGCAACCAUCGCCUUCCCGAGUACAGCCACAAGCCGCUGAGGGGAAGCGUGCAGCCUCGCCUGUGGCGGUUGUGGCGGCCGCGAAGGACCACAAGCCGCCACAGCGGGUCCACGCAGCCUCGGGGGCGAGCAGGGCGCGAGGUGGCCGCGCGACCGCAAGCGCCGCACGAGGAAAGGCCUCCCCAGCGGCGCGUAGCGCGUCACGCACUGCUUUGGCGCCUAUAUCGCAUGCGGAUCGUACCACAGUGUCGCCGACCACCAGCACGAACGCGUCUGCUAAGCAUGCGUUGCAGCUGCUCGAUCUGCACAGCCGGCACACGGUUCGCUCGCCGAUGCUGCAGCGCAGUCUAUCGCCCAUUCCGAAAGCAGCAAGGGAGACUGAGGGGCGCAAGUCGGCAAAGGCAGAGCUGACACCACCUGAGGUGCCGGCACCCCACCCCCAGCGGUGUGGCUUUGUGUCCCCCAUGCAGCUACCUUGCCGCAGCAAGCGGCGGCGAUGCACUGAACAGCUGAAGCAGCUUGUGGAGCCUGAGAUCGAUGCUCCGGUCGGUUUCGACGUGUCCGAAACGAUCUUACCGAACUCGCAGCCGGGGCUCCCGCGCGAGGUGGCCGCGCGUUCUGCGUCCGCGGAGCGGCAUCGUCCAACGGCGCCGAAUUCGCGAAGCGUGGCAAACGCCACCGCUUCUCCUGCCGUGUGCAACUCAUCGAUUGGCGCUCGACAGCCAGGCAAGGGACCGCAGCGAUCGUCUUCGAAGGCGAAGGCCGCCUCAGCGGCACCGAAGCGCCCGACCACCGCUCACCGCUAAUGCGCGGAGGCGCACCACGCUCAUAGGGAACACACGCUUACAGGAGCUUUUAUGGCACGAAGGCUCUACAUGUUAGGGGAGAGGCAUGAGCCGCUAUGAGAUGGGCAGCAGUCGCAUGCCUGUCCCCGAGUACUGGUGGCUCGCAAGAGGGAGGCAAAGAAUG